GAAUCUUGGGAAUGGGCGAAAGCCUGACCCAGCAACGCCGCGUGGGCGAUGAAGGCCUUCGGGUCGUAAAGCCCUUUUGUGGGGGAAGAUGAUGACGGUACCCCGCGAAUAAGCCACGGCUAACUACGUGCCAGCCGCCGCGGUAAUACGUAGGUGGCAAGCGUUGUCCGGAUUUACUGGGCGUAAAGGGCGUGCAGGCGGUCUGUUAAGUCUAGGGUGAAAGCUCCCGGCUCAACUGGGAGAGGUCCUUGGAUACUGGCGGACUCGAGGGAGGCAGAGGAGAAUAGAAUUCCCGGUGUAGUGGUGAUAUGCGUAGAUAUCGGGAGGAAUACCAGUGGCGAAGGCGGUUCUCUGGGCCUUACCUGACGCUGAGACGCGAAAGCGUGGGGAGCGAACCGG
This 399-nucleotide ribosomal RNA is filed under the name uncultured bacterium. Its description in RNAcentral is "bacterial SSU rRNA". It matches the Rfam family "Bacterial small subunit ribosomal RNA", at positions 359 to 776 of the family's 1533-position model. The record is from RNAcentral.